GACUCGCUUGACUGUUCACCUCCCCGUGGUGCGAGUUGGACACCCACCACUCGCAUUCUUCACCUAUUGUUUAAUUGUGCUUGUGGUGGGUGACUGAGAAACAGUC
This 106-nucleotide non-coding RNA is filed under the name Pristionchus pacificus. The record is from RNAcentral. Lineage: Eukaryota; Metazoa; Nematoda; Chromadorea; Rhabditida; Neodiplogasteridae.